UCCCAGACUCCUACGGGAGGCAGCAGUGAGGAAUAUUGGUCAAUGGUCGGGAGACUGAACCAGCCAAGCCGCGUGAGGGAGGAAGGUACAGAGUAUCGUAAACCUCUUUUGUCAGGGGACAAAGACUGGGACGCGUCCCCGGAUGAGUGUACCUGAAGAAAAAGCAUCGGCUAACUCCGUGCCAGCAGCCGCGGUAAUACGGAGGAUGCGAGCGUUGUCCGGAAUCAUUGGGCGUAAAGAGUUCGUAGGCGGUAUGUUAAGUCUGGUGUUAAAUGCAGAAGCUCAACUUCUGUUCGGCACUGGAUACUGGCAAACUAGAAUGCGGUAGAGGUAAAGGGAAUUCCUGGUGUAGCGGUGAAAUGCUUAGAUAUCAGGAGGAACAUCGGUGGCGUAAGCGCUUUACUGGGCCGUAAUUGACGCUGAGGAACGAAAGCCAGGGUAGCAAAUGGGAUUAGAUACCCUCGUACC
Molecule: ribosomal RNA, 468 nt
Filed under: uncultured bacterium
Lineage: Bacteria
Description: bacterial SSU rRNA
Rfam family: Bacterial small subunit ribosomal RNA
Source: RNAcentral